Molecule: ribosomal RNA, 2697 nt
Filed under: Clostridioides difficile
Lineage: Bacteria; Bacillati; Bacillota; Clostridia; Peptostreptococcales; Peptostreptococcaceae
Description: 23S ribosomal RNA
Rfam family: Bacterial large subunit ribosomal RNA
Source: RNAcentral
CUAAGUACCUGAAGGAAGAGAAAGAAAUUCGAUUCCGUAAGUAGCGGCGAGCGAACGCGGAUUAGCCCAAACCAAUAAAGUUUUCUUUAUUGGGGUUGCGGACAUAUCAUAACGAAGAGGUAUCGUAAUUGAAGAGGUUUGGAAAGACCCACCACAGAAGGUAAUAGUCCUGUAUGUUAAACGAGAAGACUUCAGAUAUGAUCCAGAGUACCACGGGACACGUGAAACCCUGUGGGAAGCAGGAGGGACCACCCUCCAAGGCUAAAUACUACCUAGUGACCGAUAGCGUAUAGUACCGUGAGGGAAAGGUGAAAAGAACCCCGGGAGGGGAGUGAAAUAGAACCUGAAACCCUGCACUUACAAGCUGUGGAAGCACAUUUCUUGUGUGACCGCGUACUUUUUGUAGAACGGGCCAACGAGUUACGUUAAGUAGCAAGGUUAAGCACUUAAGGUGUGGAGCCGUAGCGAAAGCGAGUUUUAACUGAGCGUUCAGUUACUUGACGUAGACCCGAAACCGGGCGACCUACCCAUGAGCAGGAUGAAGCGAAAGUAAAAUUUCGUGGAGGUCCGAACCCACGAGCGUUGAAAAGCUCGGGGAUGACUUGUGGGUAGCGGUGAAAUUCCAAUCGAGCCCGGAGAUAGCUGGUUCUCCCCGAAAUAGCUUUAGGGCUAGCCUCAAGGUGAGAGAUACGGAGGUAGAGCACUGAAUGUCCUAGGGGGUAUUGCACCUACCGAAGACUAUCAAACUCCGAAUGCCGUCAUCUUAUACUUGGGAGUCAGACUGUGGGUGAUAAGAUUCAUAGUCGAAAGGGCAACAGCCCAGAUCGUCAGCUAAGGUCCCUAAAUGUAAGUUAAGUGGUAAAGGAUGUGGGAUUGCACAGACAACCAGGAUGUUGGCUUAGAAGCAGCCACUCAUUCAAAGAGUGCGUAAUAGCUCACUGGUCGAGUGAUCCUGCGCCGAAGAUUUCCGGGGCUAAAACUUACUACCGAAGCUACGGCAUCAGUAAUGAUGGGUAGGGGAGCUUCCCAUACGGGUUGAAGCAUGACCGUAAGGACAUGUGGACAGUAUGGGAGUGAGAAUGUUGGCAUGAGUAGCGAGAUGUGGGUGAGAAUCCCACAGGCCGUAAACCCAAGGUUUCCAGGGGAAGGUUCGUCCGCCCUGGGUUAGUCGGGACCUAAGCUGAGGCCGAAAGGCGUAGGUGAUGGACAACAGGUUGAUAUUCCUGUACUACCGAUAACCGUUUGAGAGAAGGGAUGACACAGUAGGAUAAGCUAAGCACACUGUUGGUUAUGUGUGCCCAAGCAUUGAGGCAGUCAAAGUAGGCAAAUCCGCUUUGAUAAUGCUGGGAUGUGAUGGGGAGCGAAAUUUAGUAGCGAAGUAGCUGAUUUCACACUGUCAAGAAAAGUCUCUAUCGAGGUUAAAGGUACCCGUACCGCAAACCGACACAGGUGGGUGAGGAGAGUAUCCUAAGGCCAGCGAGAGAACUGUUGUUAAGGAACUCGGCAAAAUGACCCCGUAACUUAGGGAUAAGGGGUGCCACCAUCAGGUGGCCGCAGAGAAUAGGCCCAAGCGACUGUUUACCAAAAACAUAGGUUUCUGCUAAGUCGCAAGACGAUGUAUAGGAGCUGACGCCUGCCCGGUGCUGGAAGGUUAAGGGGAUCUGUUAGAGCAAUCGAAGCAGUGAACUUAAGCCCCAGUAAACGGCGGCCGUAACUAUAACGGUCCUAAGGUAGCGAAAUUCCUUGUCGGGUAAGUUCCGACCCGCACGAAAGGCGUAACGAUUUGGGCACUGUCUCAACAACAGACUCGGUGAAAUUGUAAUUCCGGUGAAGAUGCCGGAUACCUGCGACAGGACGGAAAGACCCCAUGGAGCUUUACUGUAGCUUGACAUUGGGUCUUGGUACUACAUGUACAGGAUAGGUGGGAGGCUUUGAAACCAGGACGCCAGUUUUGGCGGAGCCAUCCUUGGGAUACCACCCUUGUAGUACUGGGACUCUAACCAUAGGCCAUGAAUCUGGUCUUGGGACACUGUCAGGUGGGCAGUUUGACUGGGGCGGUCGCCUCCCAAAAGGUAACGGAGGCGCUCAAAGGUUCUCUCAGUACGGUCGGAAAUCGUACGUAGAGUGUAAAGGCAAAAGAGAGCUUGAUUGCAAGACAUACAGGUCGAGCAAGGAUGAAAAUCGGACUUAGUGAUCCGGUGGUUCUGCGUGGAAGGGCCAUCGCUCAACGGAUAAAAGCUACCCUGGGGAUAACAGGCUUAUCUCCCCCAAGAGUCCACAUCGACGGGGAGGUUUGGCACCUCGAUGUCGGCUCAUCACAUCCUGGGGCUGUAGUAGGUCCCAAGGGUUGGGCUGUUCGCCCAUUAAAGUGGUACGCGAGCUGGGUUCAGAACGUCGUGAGACAGUUCGGUCCCUAUCCGUCGCAGGCGUAGGAAAUUUGAGAAGACCUGUCCUUAGUACGAGAGGACCGGGAUGGACGUACCUCUGGUGUACCAGUUGUUCUGCCAAGGGCAUGGCUGGGUAGCUAUGUACGGAAUGGAUAAGCGCUGAAAGCAUCUAAGCGCGAAGCCAACUUCAAGAUAAGAUUUCCCACCGCAAGGGUAAGACCCCAGAAAGACUAUCUGGUUGAUAGGUCGAAGGUGUAAGUGCAGCAAUGUAUUUAGCUUAUCGAUACUAAUAGGUCGAGGACUUGACCAA